CUAAUAUUACCCUGAUACUAAAACCAGAAAAAGACAGUGAAAAAAAAAAAAAAGAAAGAAAAGAAGCAUUGAUGCGGCUGUCCAGCCUGUUGGAUCAGCUGCAACCCACCCUGGUAUGGACUGAGGGGUCUCCCUGGGCUGGGCCGAGCAGGAGGAGGCUGAGCAGUGAAAACGGUGACCCCUGCCCUCACGGAGCUAACGAGAAGAGCAAAUGGCUGGCAACGGUGCAUGACACAGAAUGAGCAACGGGCUGCACACAUCGCGAUUUACGUGGCUUUGGAAAAAACGCGUCUCACAAGUUGGGGCUGUCAUACAUUGGCUUCUUGGUAAUCAAUGCGUUUCAGCAAUAUAUGGGGGUGAGUUUAGUUUCCAGUUGGCUUCCCUGAGGGUGUUGGAUAAAAUUGCAAUUUAGAUUCAA
Molecule: long non-coding RNA, 418 nt
Filed under: Homo sapiens (human)
Lineage: Eukaryota; Metazoa; Chordata; Mammalia; Primates; Hominidae
Description: novel transcript
Source: RNAcentral